RNAcentral lists this ribosomal RNA (492 nucleotides) under uncultured bacterium. Its description in RNAcentral is "bacterial SSU rRNA". It matches the Rfam family "Bacterial small subunit ribosomal RNA", at positions 903 to 1397 of the family's 1533-position model. The record is from RNAcentral.
AAAGGAAUUGACGGGGGCCCGCACAAGCGGAGGAACAUGUGGUUUAAUUCGAUGAUACGCGAGGAACCUUACCUGGGCUUAAAUGGGGAGUGACAGCUGCUGAAAGGUGGUUUUCUUCGGACACUCUCCAAGGUGCUGCAUGGUUGUCGUCAGCUCGUGCCGUGAGGUGUCGGGUUAAGUCCCAUAACGAGCGCAACCCUUACUGUUAGUUGCCAGCGCGUCAAGGCGGGGACUCUAGCGGGACUGCCACCGUAAGGUGAGAGGAAGGUGGGGAUGACGUCAAAUCAGCACGGCCCUUAUGUCCAGGGCUACACACGUGUUACAAUGGCCGGUACAAAGGGCAGCUACACCGCGAGGUGAUGCUAAUCUCCAAAGCCGGUCCCAGUUCGGAUCGAAGUCUGCAACCCGACUUCGUGAAGUUGGAUUCGCUAGUAAUCGCGCAUCAGCCAUGGCGCGGUGAAUACGUUCCCGGGCCUUGUACACACCGCCCGU